Acomys russatus (golden spiny mouse) is the source of this 104-nucleotide small nuclear RNA. The record is from RefSeq and is a predicted model, not a curated record. Lineage: Eukaryota; Metazoa; Chordata; Mammalia; Rodentia; Muridae.
GCUUGCUUCAGCAGCCCAGUACUAAGAUUGGAAUAACACAGAGAAGAUCAGCGUGGCUCCUGCGCAAGGACGGCAUGCGAAUUCAUGAAAUGGUCAGUCUGUUG